Prunus dulcis (almond) is the source of this 333-nucleotide long non-coding RNA. RefSeq lists it as uncharacterized. The record is from RefSeq and is a predicted model, not a curated record. NCBI's taxonomy places the organism in Eukaryota, Viridiplantae, Streptophyta, Magnoliopsida, Rosales, Rosaceae. The transcript is spliced from 3 exons.
CGUUAUGAGUCAGGUUUUUGAAAACUUUGAGGUUGAUGUGCAACUUCUCCGGCCAACAGAUAUUGAGAAGCAACAACCUUACUGGAGUUGGGGUGAUGAUGACAACGAAGAACCAAUGGUUGAAUUAUUUGGGGAUGAGGCCGAAAGAAAAAACCGGCACUUCUAGUGAAGAAAAAGACGCGGAUGUUGAGGAAACAGCCACCCUUCCCUCCUCUUCUAAGGCCAAAGGGUCUGUUAAUGACGUUCGCAGUUUGAAGCAUCAAUUACGCAGCACUAAGGAUCAGUUGGCUAAGCUACGUAGUUCAAAUCGGGGGCUUAGGAACAGAGUUCGUG